GACGAACGCUGGCGGCGUGCUUAACACAUGCAAGUCGAACGGAAAGGCCCUGCUUUUGUGGGGUGCUCGAGUGGCGAACGGGUGAGUAACACGUGAGUAACCUGCCCUUGACUUUGGGAUAACUUCAGGCAACUGGGGCUAAUACCGGAUAGGAGCUCCUGCUGCAUGGUGGGGGUUGGAAAGUUUCGGCGGCUGGGGAUGGACUCGCGGCUUAUCAGCUUGUUGGUGGGGUAGUGGCUUACCAAGGCUUUGACGGGUAGCCGGCCUGAGAGGGUGACCGGCCACAUUGGGACUGAGAUACGGCCCAGACUCCUACGGGAGGCAGCAGUGGGGAAUAUUGCACGAUGGGCGGAAGCCUGAUGCAGCAACGCCGCGUGCGGGAUGACGGCCUUCGGGUUGUAAACCGCUUUCGCCUGUGACGAAGCGUGAGUGACGGUAAUGGGUAAAGAAGCACCGGCUAACUACGUG
This 468-nucleotide ribosomal RNA is filed under the name uncultured bacterium. Its description in RNAcentral is "partial 16S ribosomal RNA". It matches the Rfam family "Bacterial small subunit ribosomal RNA", at positions 28 to 507 of the family's 1533-position model. The record is from RNAcentral.